This 377-nucleotide ribosomal RNA is filed under the name uncultured bacterium. RNAcentral's name for it is "bacterial SSU rRNA". It matches the Rfam family "Bacterial small subunit ribosomal RNA", at positions 521 to 896 of the family's 1533-position model. The record is from RNAcentral.
UCAGACGGAGGAUCCGAGCGUUAUCCGGAGUGACUGGGCGUAAAGAGUUGCGUAGGCGGUUUGUUAAGCAGAUAGUGAAAUCUCAGGGCUCAACCUUGAGGCUAUUAUCUGAACUGGCAAACUUGAGAAUGAGAGAGGUAAUUGGAAUUCCCAGUGUAGCGGUGAAAUGCGUAGAUAUUGGGAAGAACACCAAUGGCGUAGGCAGAUUACUGGCUCAUUUCUGACGCUAAGGCACGAAAGCGUGGGGAGCGAACCGGAUUAGAUACCCGGGUAGUCCACGCCGUAAACGAUGGAUGCUAGCUGUAGGGCGCUCGACCCGUCCUGUAGCGAAGCUAACGCGUUAAGCAUCCCGCCUGGGGAGUACGGUCGCAAGAUUA